Molecule: ribosomal RNA, 162 nt
Filed under: uncultured bacterium
Lineage: Bacteria
Description: partial 16S ribosomal RNA
Rfam family: Bacterial small subunit ribosomal RNA
Source: RNAcentral
AAUGCGCGCAGCCUGAUGCAGCAAUGCCGCGUGAGUGAUGAAGGCCUUCGGGUUGUAAAGCUCUUUUGUCCGGAAAGAAAACGUCGGUACUAAUAUCAGAUGCCCCUGACGGUUCCGGGCCAAUAACCACGGGAAAACUACAUGCCAGCAGCCGCGGUAAUA